GCAGCAGUGAGGAAUAUUGGUCAAUGGGCGAUAGCCUGAACCAGCCAAGUAGCGUGAAGGAUGACUGCCCUAUGGGUUGUAAACUUCUUUUAUAAGGGAAUAAAAUGGGGAACGUGUUCCCAUUUGCACGUACCUUACGAAUAAGGAUCGGCUAACUCCGUGCACGCAGCCGCGGUAAUACGGAGGAUCCCAGCGUUAUCCGGAUUUAUUGGGUUUAAAGGGUGCGUAGGCGGAUUGAUCAGUCAGUUGUGAAAGUUUGAGGCUCAACCUUAAAAUUGCCUUUGAUACUGUCAUUCUUGAGUGUACGAGAGGUGGGCGGAAUUCGUGGUGUAGCGGUGAAAUGCUUAGAUAUCACGAAGAACUCCGAUUGCGAAGGCAGCUCACUGGGGUACAACUGACGCUGAGGCACGAAAGUGUGGGUAUCAAACAGGAUUAGAUACCCUGGUAGUCCACACAGUAAACGAUGAUUACUCGCUGUGUGCGAUACACCGUAAGCGCCGAAGCGAAAGCGAUAAGUAUUCCACCU
This 526-nucleotide ribosomal RNA is filed under the name uncultured Bacteroidota bacterium. RNAcentral describes it as "bacterial SSU rRNA". It matches the Rfam family "Bacterial small subunit ribosomal RNA", at positions 348 to 874 of the family's 1533-position model. The record is from RNAcentral. Lineage: Bacteria; Pseudomonadati; Bacteroidota.